CAAGAGGCCCCUGUUUCCGAAACCCCUCUGUCCCCAAAGCUGCGACAGCAGAAGACACUUAGGCGGCCUGAGGGGUUGGUGAACCACAGAGGAGCUCAGCUUCGCCUGGUCUCCAGCUCCCGGUGGCGGUGGCGUGUCCUUAAUGCUGCUGGCUUUGAACUGGACUGAGAACUAUUUACCACACAAACACCACCAUUUCAAUCCCGGAGAAUGCCUGUUUUCCCUAGGGUGACCUGGCCGGGGUAACAAACACUUGUUCUCUAAUUCCACGGUCAGCCUUGACUUAAUUGAGGUACUUGAUUUCCAACUUCCUGUCUUGCUGCCACAGAUAAUCACUGAUGAAACCAAACAGGCAACACCUUUUGGUGGCCUGUGGAGAGCGCUGCCCCGUCUGGGUCUUAGGAAGGCAAUUGAAUAUGAAUGUUCUCCCGAGUGCUUGUGGAAAAGAGAUGGUGUUGGCCACUUUUUAGACGAAGAGAAAUGAGUACUAGUGAACACUAAUCAUAGUGACUAAACAGUAAACGGCUCCCAUUUGUUGUCGGCUAAAGCACUGAUUCUUCAUUUUCCAUCCCAGCCUGUCCUGCUCUGGCCUGCCCUGUGCUCAGGAAGCUGGCGGUCCCCCUCAGUGGAUCUUCACCCACAGGGACAACCUGCUGCAGACCGGGCUCUACGAACAGAACUUCUCCCCGCCCCCAAGCCUCUUAGGGUGAGACAUGUUGUCGGUCUGCCAUUGUUGCUGGUCCCUAAAUAGCAGCACCCUUUGAAGGAUCCUUGAACCAUGACCACACCGCAACAAAGAGUCCUUCAUCAAACUCGCUUCCAAAUCCCCUCCCAAGAACACCUUCAGUUUCCUGCAAGAACCCUGACUGCUGAAGCCGGAUUUUGACUAAGCUUCUACCUUGUAAACCGUGACUGUGGGAUUGGGGUCGAGGCGCAAUCAGAGGUUGUAUAAGGCACUAGAUCAAGGCUGCCUGUCUGUCAGGAGUGUCUGCUUUAUUCAGUAGUAAAUGUGAAUUGUUUUUCAUUCUGUUGUGAAUACUGUUGGUUGACAAUGCAGCAGCCAUGCCCUCUCUAUCCUUGCUGGUUCAGGUAUCCACUCUGUGUGGCUAAGGGUAAACUCUGUCUCUUGAGAAAAUCUUGGUAACUCCAUUUCUCUUUCCAACAAUUGGCUUCAAACAAGCUCAAGUCAAUGAGUCCCAACAGGAAGCCUGCUGGGGGUUGUCUGGCAAAGGUUUUCUCACUCCUACAGGAACAUAAAGAGGAAAUGCUCCUUUUUCCCUGGUGAAUGUUGCAUUCCCUGUCUGGAUGCAAUGCCUGGUGCUCCGCAGCCCUUUGCACUUAUAAGAGAAGGUGGCCGGAAGAGCAUCUUCACCCUGGGGUGGCCGCCUGGGAAGAUGAGAAGAGCAGGAGUCCUUGGUGGCACAACCAGGCAAUUCACCAAAAUCCUGCUGCCCUCACCUGGAAUUUCCUGCUAUGAGAGACGUCUCCGUUUAAACCACAUGAGCUGGAUUUUCUGUUUCUAACACAUGUCAGCAUCUUCACGGUAAAUCUAAGAAAAAAAAAUCAGGGCUAUUAAAAAACAAAGUCCAACUCACCCUGUGCUAUGGUCUGAAGGUGUCCUCCCAAAUUCACACGUGGAAACCUAAUCCCAAAUACCUGAUACCUAAUCCCAAAUAUUAAGAGGUGGGGGCCUUGGGAGGUGGUUAGGAAUGGGAUUAGUGCCCUUUAAAACUGAGGUUUUUGGGAGCCUGCUUGCCCUUUCUGCCAUAUGAAGAUGCUUAGAAGAGGCCUUCUAUGAAGCAGAGAACUUUUCUCAGAUGCCAGAUCUGCUGGGACCUUGAUCUUGGAUUUCUCAGCCUUCAGAACUGUGGGAAGCAAACUUCUGUGUGUAUGAAUAGCCAUCUAAAGGAUUUUGUUACAGCAGCCUGAGCAGACUAAGACACCCUGUGAGUCAGUUAUUUUUGGCUGUGUCACGAGUGACCGCGAGUGCAGGAGCUGAAACGGCAGUGAGUGGGUUACCAUUUCUCAGGACCCUGCGGAAUUGGUGCGAUGGUGCUUCUGCUCCACCUGUUGUUGGCUGGGAUUGUCCUGCAGCUGCAUUCUUCUGGGG
This 2110-nucleotide long non-coding RNA is filed under the name Homo sapiens (human). RNAcentral's name for it is "non-protein coding lnc-TUBGCP3-1:3". The record is from RNAcentral. Lineage: Eukaryota; Metazoa; Chordata; Mammalia; Primates; Hominidae.